Molecule: ribosomal RNA, 253 nt
Filed under: uncultured bacterium
Lineage: Bacteria
Description: partial 16S ribosomal RNA
Rfam family: Bacterial small subunit ribosomal RNA
Source: RNAcentral
UACGGGGGGGGCAAGCGUUGUUCGGAAUUACUGGGCGUAAAGGGUCUGUAGGUGGCCAACUAAGUCAGACGUGAAAUCCCUCAGCUUAACUGGGGAACUGCGUCUGAGACUGGAUGGCUCGAGUGCAGGAGAGGAAUGCGGAAUUCCAGGUGUAGCGGUGAAAUGCGUAGAUAUCUGGAGGAACACCGGUGGCGAAGGCGGCAUCCUGGACCAAUACUGACGCUGAGGCGCGAAAGCUAGGGGAGCAAACGGG